AUCAAUGGCCAUGCCACCCUGAACGUGCUCGAUCUCGUCUGAUCUGGGAAGCCAAUCAGGGUCGGGCCUGAGUAGUACUUGGAUAGGAGACCACAUAGGAAAUCCCGCUGCUGUGGGUG
This is a ribosomal RNA of Pteropus vampyrus (large flying fox), 119 nucleotides long. The record is from Ensembl. NCBI's taxonomy places the organism in Eukaryota, Metazoa, Chordata, Mammalia, Chiroptera, Pteropodidae.